UACAGGGGAAAUUGGGGCUGUGAGGGUUGUGAAGGUGUCAAGGCUUUGGGGGUGUUUAGAUGAAAGAGGGACUGUGGAGGGUAUUGGGAAGGUGGGCUGAUGUUGGGAGGUGUCAGAACUGUGAGGGUGUUGACCUGAAGAAGGGGCUGGGGGGUGUCCAUGGAGAGAUGUCAGGGGUGCCCCCUCCCAUCAAAACCCAUAUGACCCUGACCCUCAACCCCCUUAUGUUAAAAUCAGUGUUGGAGUGUGGACCCGAGGGAGGGGUUUGAGGGUGCUGGGAUCAUGGGAGAUAUUGGGGUGCCAGGGCUGUUGGGGUGUUGACAAGUGUCAGGACUGUGGGGGAUAUUGGGAUGCUUGGGCAGGGGUUGAGGUGCACUAUCGUAGGUAGAGGUGUUGCUCUGUUUUGCCCCUGCCCUACUGUGUGGUGGUCUGAGGAGCAGGAUAAGACUCACCCCAUCCAGAGGACAGGGCACAAGCGGUGACCUAAUGACCCAUAAGUCUGAGCCUGUAACCAGAAAUGGAAGAGCUGGAUGGUUUGGGUCUCUGGAGGCAGAGAUUGGACCCUUACGGGAGCAGACACAAAUGGGUGAAACCUCAAUUGAUACAGUUUUACUGGAGUUUUACUGAGCACUGUUGUUACUAUUAUUUGUUUUGCCAUCAUGGCAAGGAGCCUGUUACAAACCAGGACUACUUUAUGCUUGGCAGUGUACAAACAACAUCGCAGUCCCUGGCCCAAGAGGCUUAAGAUAUAAUCAUGAAAGCUAAUUUUGUUUACUGCUACUUAAAGGGUGCCAUGGGGAAGAAUAUUGUGCAGCUGAGAGACUGCUCUAACAGCGUGGGCCUGUGGUGGCAUUACAUCUGGGAUGAGAUCUGCUUCUGAGAGCAGGCUGGGAGUAGCUGAAUGGGAAGCCGGUGUCCCAGGAGCAGAAAAGUCCAGCGAUGGAGAAGGA
Long non-coding RNA from Pelodiscus sinensis (Chinese soft-shelled turtle), 950 nucleotides. RefSeq lists it as uncharacterized. NCBI's taxonomy places the organism in Eukaryota, Metazoa, Chordata, Testudines, Trionychidae. The record is from RefSeq and is a predicted model, not a curated record.